UGUACCUACGGGACGCAGCAGCCGCGGUAAUACGUAGGGGGCAAGCGUUAUCCGGAUUUACUGGGUGUAAAGGGAGCGUAGACGGCAGCGCAAGUCUGGAGCGAAAUGCCGGGGCCCAACCCCGGAACUGCUUUGGAAACUGUGCAGCUCGAGUGCAGGAGAGGUAAGCGGAAUUCCUAGUGUAGCGGUGAAAUGCGUAGAUAUUAGGAGGAACACCAGUGGCGAAGGCGGCUUACUGGACUGUAACUGACGUUGAGGCUCGAAAGCGUGGGGAGCAAACAGGAUUAGAAACCCUAGGAGUCCCA
RNAcentral lists this ribosomal RNA (305 nucleotides) under uncultured bacterium. Its description in RNAcentral is "bacterial SSU rRNA". It matches the Rfam family "Bacterial small subunit ribosomal RNA", at positions 496 to 797 of the family's 1533-position model. The record is from RNAcentral.